This 644-nucleotide long non-coding RNA is filed under the name Carassius auratus (goldfish). Its description in RNAcentral is "lncRNA (ENSCARG00000038719.1)". Lineage: Eukaryota; Metazoa; Chordata; Actinopteri; Cypriniformes; Cyprinidae. The record is from RNAcentral.
CCAAAGUGUUGGCAAGCCGAAUCUCCUGGGCCAGGUCAUCCCCGUCUAUGGCUUUGGGAUUUUCCUUUAUAUCAUCUACUUGUUCUUUAAACUGACCUCUAAGGACAAACCUCAUCGACAAGGUUGCAGAUUCCCUAUGGCUGCAGUCAGAAUACACAUUUGAAGAGAUGCCUACUUGUCAGCUGGGCACCAAAUGGCAGGCCAGAAUGAGUGAAAAAGCCAGAGAAAAGAGAAUAUCUAAAGUUGUCCACCCAUCUACCAGGUCACGCAGGGGCACACGGAGGCGUGAGGAGAAAAAGCUCAAACAGCUGAAGGAGAUCACCCAAAUGAUGCGGGAGAGACAGUUACGAGAGGAAGCUUCGCCAGAGGAGGAGGCCGAGGAGGCCCCCUACACUGCAGACUGGGAAGGUAUACUUCAAGGCUUUGUGUUGGGUCCGCUGUUGUUUCUUGGUCCUUGAAUUACAUUUUAUUCACUACUUCCCAAGGCUAUCCAGAGGAGACCUACCCAGAGUAUGACACGACCUCCCGCAGACGCAGAUUUCCAGUGUUAUACUUGAAGAACCAGACCAAGUCAUACUCACAGCAGAGGAGCUUGCUGAGAGAAUGGAGAAGGAAGAAGAAGAGGAGGAGGAGGAUGAUCCUGA